RNAcentral lists this ribosomal RNA (469 nucleotides) under uncultured soil bacterium. RNAcentral's name for it is "bacterial SSU rRNA". It matches the Rfam family "Bacterial small subunit ribosomal RNA", at positions 10 to 462 of the family's 1533-position model. The record is from RNAcentral.
AGUUUGAUCCUGGCUCAGAAUCAACGCUGGCGGCGUGCCUCAGACAUGCAAGUCGAACGCGAAAGUUUCCUUCGGGGAACAAGUAGAGUGGCGCACGGGUGAGUAACACGUAGGUAAUCUACCUUUGGAUGGGGAAUAACAACCGGAAACGGUUGCUAAUACCGCAUAAUGCAGCGGCACCUAAUGGUGACAGUUGUUAAAGCGGGGGAUCGUAAGACCUCGCGUCUGAAGAGGAGCCUGCGGCAGAUUAGCUAGUUGGUAAGGUAAUGGCUUACCAAGGCUAUGAUCUGUAGCCGGCCUGAGAGGGCGGUCGGCCACACUGACACUGACAUACGGGUCAGACUCCUACGGGAGGCAGCAGUCGGGAAUUUUGGGCAAUGGGCGAAAGCCUGACCCAGCAACGCCGCGUGAAGGAUGAAAUCCUUCGGGAUGUAAACUUCGCAAGAACGGGAAGAAUAAACCGGUGUUA